UACGGAGGGUGCGAGCGUUGUCCGGAAUCACUGGGCGUAAAGGGCGCGCAGGUGGCGCGAGGAGUCAACGGUGAAAGCUCGGCGCUCAACGCCGAGUCGGCCGUCGAUACUCUCGCGCUCGAGCACUGUAGAGGCAGAUGGAAUUCCGGGUGUAGCGGUGGAAUGCGUAGAGAUCCGGAAGAACACCGGUGGCGAAGGCGGUCUGCUGGGCAGUUGCUGACACUGAGGCGCGACAGCGUGGGGAGCAAACAGG
This 253-nucleotide ribosomal RNA is filed under the name uncultured bacterium. Its description in RNAcentral is "partial 16S ribosomal RNA". It matches the Rfam family "Bacterial small subunit ribosomal RNA", at positions 524 to 776 of the family's 1533-position model. The record is from RNAcentral.